RNAcentral lists this ribosomal RNA (253 nucleotides) under uncultured bacterium. RNAcentral describes it as "partial 16S ribosomal RNA". It matches the Rfam family "Bacterial small subunit ribosomal RNA", at positions 524 to 776 of the family's 1533-position model. The record is from RNAcentral.
GACAGAGGUGCCAAGCGUUAGGCGGAAUCACUGGGCUUAAAGCGUGUGUAGGCGGAUUGGUAAGUACCUUGUGAAAUCCCACAGCUCAACUGUGGAACUGCUCGGUAUACUGCUUAUCUUGAGCCACUUAGGGGCUGUCGGAACAAACGGUGGAGCGGUGAAAUGCGUAGAUAUCGGAAGGAACGCCGGUGGCGAAAGCGGCACACUGGACCUUGUCUGACGCUGAGGCACGAAAGCCAGGGGAGCAAACGGG